GUCCAUGCCGUAACGGUGGGCGCUAGGUGUGGGUCCUUCCACGGACUCCGUGCCGUAGCUAACGCAUUAAGCGCCCGCCUGGGAGUACGGCCGCAAGGCUAAACUCAAGGAAUUGACGGGCCCGCACAAGCGGCGGAGCAUGUGGAUUAAUUCGAUGCAACGCGAAGAACCUUACCUAGGCUUGACAUAUACAGGACGACGGCAGAGAUGUCGUUCCCUUGUGGCUUGUAUACAGGUGGUGCAUGGUUGUCGU
Molecule: ribosomal RNA, 253 nt
Filed under: uncultured bacterium
Lineage: Bacteria
Description: partial 16S ribosomal RNA
Rfam family: Bacterial small subunit ribosomal RNA
Source: RNAcentral